UAGUCCGCACGAGCGCACCCCUAUCUUUGGUUGUCAGCAUUUAGUUGGAUACUCCAAAGAGACUGCCGGUGACAAACCGGAGGAAGGUGGGGAUGACGUCAAGUCAUCAUGGCCCUUAUGGGUAGGGCUACACACGUGCUACAAUGGUCGGUACAAAGGGUCGCCAACCCGCGAGGGGGAGCCAAUCCCAUAAAGCCGAUCUUAGUCCGGAUCGCAGUCUGCAACUCGACUGCGUGAAGUCGGAAUCGCUAGUAAUCGUAGAUCAGCAUUGCUACGGUGAAUACGUUCCCGGGCCUU
This 297-nucleotide ribosomal RNA is filed under the name uncultured bacterium. RNAcentral describes it as "partial 16S ribosomal RNA". It matches the Rfam family "Bacterial small subunit ribosomal RNA", at positions 1082 to 1382 of the family's 1533-position model. The record is from RNAcentral.